UGUCCCUGCCCAUGGCAGAGGGGUGGAACUGGGUGAUCUUUAAGGUCCCUUCCAUUUCAUUAUGUUACAGAAUUAAAACCUUAUUUCGAAUGAAACUGGUAUCUUGUGAUUGACGUUAUUUUGUGACAAAUUAAACGUGUGCCAUCGCUUCACUAGAGAGUCACUUGAAAAAAACUAAGAAAAAGAACCCUCGGGCUAUAAAAACUGCAGACCAGUUGUGACUCAGCGCAUGCGCGGAGGCUCUGCCCCGUGUCCGCUCUGACUACAUUUCCCAGCGUGCCCCGCGGCGCCCCCGCGCAUGCUCCCGGCGCCGCGGAGAGACCCGCGGCGAUCGCGGUCCGUGGACAUGGAGGAGGGCGCUGGGAGCGGGGUCUCGGGGCCGUCGAGCGCGGAUGGAGCGGGAGCAGGAGCAGGCCCGGCCCCGGCCGAUGAGGACCGGGACAUGGAGGGGGCCCCCAGCUGCUCGGGGUCGCGCUCCGUCCCCUUCGAGUUCCAGCGGAGCCGCUCGGAGUCCACCGGCGAUGAGGACGACGACGACGACGAAGACGACGACGAGGAGGAAGAGGAGCUGGAGGGGCACGCCGGGGCUCGGUUCGGGACGGAUGACGGGGAGCACGACUCGGGCGACGACCGGGAGCGUAUGAUAAACCUCACAGAGUUGACCCCUUAUAUCCUGUGUUCCAUCUGCAAAGGUUACUUUAUUGAUGCUACAACUAUUACAGAAUGUCUGCACACCUUUUGUAAAAGCUGCAUCGUGAGACACUUCUACUAUAGCAACAGAUGUCCAAAAUGCAAUAUUGUUGUACAUCAGACACAGCCCCUUUAUAAUAUCAGACUGGACCGGCAACUGCAAGACAUAGUCUAUAAAUUAGUUGUCAAUCUUGAGGAAAGAGAGAAAAAACAAAUGCAUGACUUCUAUAAAGAAAGAGGAUUAGAAGUGCCCAAACCAGCUGUCCCACAGCCAGUUCCAACGAGCAGAGGAAGACCUCGUAAGGUUCUAGGCUCAGUGUUCCGGAUUCCACCGGAACUUGACAUCUCCAUACUUCUGGAGUUUAUUGGAGCUAACGAAGGCACAGGGAAUUUUAAGCCUUUGGAAAAGAAGUUUGUGCGUGUUUCUGGGGAGGCAACAAUUGGACAUGUGGAGAAAUUCCUCAGAAGAAAAAUGGAUCUGGACCCUGCUUGUCAGGUGGACAUAAUAUGUGGUGAUCACCUGCUGGAGCACUACCAGACACUGAGGGAAAUUCGUCAGGUCAUAGGAGAGAGCGCAGUGCAGCUGCUGGUUAUUUUCAUGUGUCUGAAACUGGGCCUUCUCAGAGUUCUGCAUCACUGAUGGAUAUAAUGAGCUCACACAUGGGAAAAGCUAAAAGGAGUGCCUUCCGUGAUGUCCUUGGCCCUUGGCACAGAGGAUGGUUUGCUUGUACUGCACUAUGGCCUGGUGGUAUCUCCGCUAACUUAAAGAUUGCUGGAAUAUUACAAGGCAAAAGAAUCUGAAGAGUCAUGGCGCUUCUUCACUGCUGUUUCUCACCAAAGAAGCCAUCGUAUUUCCUGUGGCAGGAAGCAAGUUAAAGGAACUACCACUAACUGCUGUGUGAUCGUAGUGUAACAUCUGACUUCACCACUGUAAAAAAUUGCAGCUUCUGUAAGUACAGCUGUAAAUGUUGGUAUGCUUCAUGUUACAAAUUACUGUCUUCAAAUUUCACUCAGCUCAGGGAAUUUAAAUGCUCAGAGUAGCUGCAUUUUUUUUACUUUCUAAAAACCACAAGAUUUCACAGGGUUAACAGCCUUUUUUUCCUCUAAGCUCUGAGAUAUCUCUUGCUUUCUAAGUGUCUAGCUAGAACAGUGCUCUCAGGGAUGAUCUUCAGUGAGCAGUAUAGUGUAUUUUUGGGAGGAGACAGUGAGUUGCCUAAAAAAAUGUGUACUGUGAUCAUCUGUCUUCAUAUGUGAUUUGGGGGUAGGAAGGAAACUAGAAAUGCAGACCAAAAUAGGUAGAAAACAAUGCAGCAUAAGCAUUAGUUUUUUUGAGAAGUAGCAUUAAAUUUAGUUGUUUUUCUUGGAGAAAGACAAUUUUGUUUGCACUGGAAGUAUAUUUGCUGGUAGUUUGGCUUAUACCAAAUGGUGGAUCAUGCAUCUCUGGUCUUAAUGGAGAUGGGCUGGCUGUAAGCUGGUUAAACUAUGCAUGAAAAAAAAAAGUAGCACCUCUUUCUACCUGCUUGCUGUAUAUAAAAUGAUCACUGUCGGCAUGAUUCUGCUAUCAUGAAUCUAUCAACUGGCUUGACUGUCAGGAGCAUAAAUCCAUUCACUUUAGCACAUACCUCUCUAGCAACUGUGAAAAUGGUUGCUUUUUCCACUCUUUUUAAUGUGUUUUAGUGCAUUGCAGUGGAGACCAGGGUUGAGUAAUGUAAUACUUGCCUGUUACUACCAGAUUCGCAGAGGAUUUUAGGUAACUUUAACAUAUUAAAAUACUGUGGUUUGUGACAACUCUAAUACUUCAAAUUUUCUUCUGUUUAAGAUUUCCAUAUUUUCUUGUGCAGCACUAAGGACCAGAGUGCUCUGUGUGUUAUGGUCUUGCUGGUCAUUGGUGUGGGGAUCCAUGAAAGCUACCAGGAGGCACCAGGCUUCCUCCCUUCCCUAUAGUCAGUGUAGGGAAAAGGAGUCUCAAACCUCCAUUGCAGUGGAGAAGCAGGUGGACUCAGAGCCCUGCAAGGCAGUUAGUCAAGGGUCUGUUGAAGAUGAAGGCUGGAAGCAGGUCACUGCACCAACCAGGAAGGAAGGUUGUUCCUCCUUAUGAAAACUUAACAAAUAGGACUGACACCUUCUACAGCAGUUAUGAGGCCCUGGAACUAGAAGAACAGACAGCUGAUGCAGUGGGCAAAGGUCCUUCUGGGACUGAAGGGUCCCCUAAACCAACACCACCUGUACCCCACAUCACAGCCACCUCUGUUAAGAGGAAAAGAAGGGUAGUUGGUGGUUGUAAUGAGAGACUCCCUUCUAAGGGGAACAGAGGGCCUGAUAGAGAUGGGACCCAACUCAGAGGGUAGUCUGCUGUCUCCCAGGAGCUCGGAUGGGACAUCACUGGAAAACUCUCCAGUUUAGCAAAACCCUCUGAUUACUACCCACUACUGGUUGCUAAGCCAGCAGCAACAAAAGAACAAAGAGAAGUCUGAGGGCAGUCAAAAGAGACUUCAGGGCCUUGGGGCAAUUGGUAGCAGGAUCAGGAGCACAGGUAAUAAUUUCCUCAAUCCUUCCAGUAACAAAGAAUAAUACUGAGAGGAAUAGGCAAAUCCAUCAGGUCAAUGUGUGGCUCAGAGUCUGGUAUAAGGAGAAAAAUUUGUGGGUUUUUGACCAUAGGAUAAUCUAUUCAACACCUGGUCUACUGACACCUGAUGGGAUGCACCUUUCUCAGGGGGGAAAAAGAGUUCUAACACAGGAGCUGGUGGGGCUUGUUGAUAGAGCUUUAAGCUGGCUUGGAAGAGGGAAAGGGGCAAAACCAGGCUUACUAGUAAUGAGCAAGGGAUGGUGUGCAAAACUCAAGGAAGGGAACACUAAUGGAAUCCCUCAAUCUGCCUCACGAGUUAUUGGGUACAAUGUACCACACUUGAAAUGUUUCUAUACCAGUGCAGACAGCACGAAGAACAAACAAGAGGAGCUCGAAGCUUUGACCCAGUCCCAGAGAUCUGAUAUCAAUGGCAUAAGUGAAACCUGGUGGGAUGAGUUCUGUGACUGGAGUGCCCUCUUGGAUCGUUACAGGCUUUUUGGGGGGACAGGCAGAGCAGAAGAGGCAAGGAGUAUCCCUGCAUCCUUUCCAUAGCUGUAUGUGAAGGGUUAGAAUGUAUGGAGCUCACAGCUGGCAAUGGCACAGUUGAGAGCCUCUGGGUAAUAAUCAAGGGGCAAACAAAUAAUGCAGAUGUCACAGUGGGAGUCUGCUGUAGACCUCCCAGCCAGGACAGUGACACUGACAAAUUAUUCUUUGAGAAAUUAAGGGACAAUUCUGAGGCAACUGCCCUUGUCCUUAUGGGGGACUUCAGCUUGCCAGAAAUCAACUGAGAGCAUCACACAGCUGGUACAACCCGGGCCAGAAGAUUCUUAAAAAAACUGGAUGACAGCUUUAUGGAACAGGUCCUAAGGGAGCCAACUUGGAAAGAUGCCCUCCUUGAUCUGCUGCUUGUCAACAGAGUGGAUCUCAUGAGCAAAGUGGAGAUCAGUGGCCAUCUUGGCCACAGCAACUAUGAAGGGAUCAAGUUUAAAAUCUCUGACAGGAGGAAAAGUGCCAGCAAAACUUCGGCUCUGGACAUGGGGAGAGCAGACUUCAGGCUGCUCAGGGAACUAGUAAGUAAAGUCCCCUGGGAAAAUGUUUUUGCAGAUGCUGGGAUCCAUCAGUGCUAGUCUCAAAGGAACACUAACUAAGUUUGCUGACAACACUAAACUGGGAGGAGCUGUUGACUCCCUUGAGGGCAGAGAGGCCUUGCAGAGAGACCUUGACAAAUUAGAGAGUUGGGCAAUCACCAGCUGUAUGAAGUUUCACAAGGACAAAUAGAGAUUCUGCACCUGGCAUGGGACAACCCUGGCUGUGUGUAUAGACUGGGGAAUGAGAGUCUGGAGAGCAGUGCUGCAGAAAGGGACCUGGGGAUCCUGAUUGAUGGCAACUUGAAUAUGAAUCAGCAGUGCCCUGGCAGACAGGAGGGCCAACUGUGUCUGGGGAGGGGCAUCAGGCAAAGUGUCACCAGCUGGUCGAGGGAGGGGAUUGUCCCGCUCUGCUCUGCACUGGGGCAGCCUCACCUUGAAUAUUGUGUGCAGUUUUGGGCACCACAAUAUAAAAAAGACAUUAAGCUAUUAGAGUGUCCAGAGGAGGGUCACAAGGAUGGUAAAGGAUCUGGAGGGGAAGCUGUACAAGGAGCAGCUGAGGUCACUUGGUUUGUUCAGCCUGAAGAAGAGGAGACUGAGGGGAGACCUCCUUGGGGUCUUCAAAAUCCUUAUGAGGGGAAGUGGAGGGACAGGCACUGAUCUCUUCACUCUCAUGAUCAGUGGCAGGACUCAUGGAAACAGCAUGAAGCUGAGUCUCUGUAGGUUUAGUUUGGAUACCGGGAAAAGGCUUUUCACCCAGCGGGUAGUUGGGCACUGAACAGGCUCCCCAGGGAAGUGGUCUCAGCACCAAGCCUGACAGAGUUCAAGAAGCAUUUGGACAAUGCUCUUGGGCACAUGGUGUGACUCCUGGGGUGUCCUGCGCAGGGUCAAGAGUUGGACUCAAUGAUCCUGACAGGUCCCUUCCAACUCAAUGUUUUCUGUGAUUCCUCAUGUUGAGGUGAAACUGCUUGUGUUUUAGUUUAUGGCCAUUGCUCAUUGUCCUGUCGCUGGGCACCACCGAAAAGGGCCUGGCACCAUUCUCUUGGCACCUGCCUUCGAGAUAUUUAUAUGCAUUGAUGAGAUCCCCUCUCAGUCUUCUCUAGACUGAACAGGCCCAGCUCCCGCAGUCUCUCCUCAUAAGAGGGAUGCUCCAGACACCGAAUGAUCUUUGUGGCCUCUGCUGGACCCUCUCCAGCAGCUCCUUGUCCUUCUUGUAUUGAAGAGCCCAGAACUGAACACAGCACUCCUGAUGUGGCCUCGCUAGAGCCAAGUAGAGAGGGGGAGGAUCAGCUCCCUUGACUGGCUGGCCACGUUCUUCCUGAUGCACCCCAGGAUACAAUUGGCCCUCCUGGCCACAAGGGCACAGCGAUGGCUCAAAUAUUAGCUCGAAUGCAUUUGCUCACUGUCAGACUAGGAGGACUGGCAUCCUUUGUCUGAAGAAAGCUUUCAUGAAUCCUCCUGCAGGUCUUUACAAUAAACAUUUGGUUUUGUCUGUGAACAUAGCACCAAGAAAAAAAAAAAGUCUUGUUUGAAGUAAUUCUUGUGAUACUUCUAAAAAUGUAACAAAAAUGUUUUAGCUACAAACUCCUAUUUUACCUUUGAAGUUUGUAUAAAAGUAGUGUUUAAAAUGCAGCAGAAAAUGAGAUUAUUUUGUAAACACCUUGUGAGUUGUGUUGAUAAAAGAUUAUAUAUUGUAACAGUAAAAUAAACUUUAUUUUAGCCAAUUUAAA
Chiroxiphia lanceolata (lance-tailed manakin) is the source of this 6071-nucleotide RNA transcript. It is a transcript of the gene named polycomb group ring finger 6, with no coding region annotated. Lineage: Eukaryota; Metazoa; Chordata; Aves; Passeriformes; Pipridae. The record is from RefSeq and is a predicted model, not a curated record. The transcript has 11 exons.